RNAcentral lists this ribosomal RNA (918 nucleotides) under uncultured bacterium. Its description in RNAcentral is "bacterial SSU rRNA". It matches the Rfam family "Bacterial small subunit ribosomal RNA", at positions 8 to 920 of the family's 1533-position model. The record is from RNAcentral.
AGAGUUUGAUCCUGGCUCAGAUUGAACGCUGGCGGCAGGCUUAACACAUGCAAGUCGAGCGGGGAGAUGUAGCUUGCUACAUUUCCUAGCGGCGGACGGGUGAGUAAUGCUUAGGAAUCUGCCUAUUAGUGGGGGACAACAUUCCGAAAGGAAUGCUAAUACCGCAUACGCCCUACGGGGGAAAGCAGGGGAUCUUCGGACCUUGCGCUAAUAGAUGAGCCUAAGUCAGAUUAGCUAGUUGGUGGGGUAAAGGCCUACCAAGGCGACGAUCUGUAGCGGGUCUGAGAGGAUGAUCCGCCACACUGGGACUGAGACACGGCCCAGACUCCUACGGGAGGCAGCAGUGGGGAAUAUUGGACAAUGGGCGCAAGCCUGAUCCAGCCAUGCCGCGUGUGUGAAGAAGGCCUUUUGGUUGUAAAGCACUUUAAGCGAGGAGGAGGCUACUUGGAUUAAUACUCUAGGAUAGUGGACGUUACUCGCAGAAUAAGCACCGGCUAACUCUGUGCCAGCAGCCGCGGUAAUACAGAGGGUGCGAGCGUUAAUCGGAUUUACUGGGCGUAAAGCGUGCGUAGGCGGCUUUUUAAGUCGGAUGUGAAAUCCCUGAGCUUAACUUAGGAAUUGCAUUCGAUACUGGGAAGCUAGAGUAUGGGAGAGGAUGGUAGAAUUCCAGGUGUAGCGGUGAAAUGCGUAGAGAUCUGGAGGAAUACCGAUGGCGAAGGCAGCCAUCUGGCCUAAUACUGACGCUGAGGUACGAAAGCAUGGGGAGCAAACAGGAUUAGAUACCCUGGUAGUCCAUGCCGUAAACGAUGUCUACUAGCCGUUGGGGCCUUUGAGGCUUUAGUGGCGCAGCUAACGCGAUAAGUAGACCGCCUGGGGAGUACGGUCGCAAGACUAAAACUCAAAUGAAUUGACGGGGGC